RNAcentral lists this ribosomal RNA (497 nucleotides) under uncultured bacterium. RNAcentral describes it as "partial 16S ribosomal RNA". It matches the Rfam family "Bacterial small subunit ribosomal RNA", at positions 28 to 507 of the family's 1533-position model. The record is from RNAcentral.
GGUGAACGCUGGCGGCGUGCCUAAUACAUGCAAGUCGAGCGAACGGACGAUAAGCUUGCUCCUCUGAUGUUAGCGGCUGACGGGUGAGUAACACGUGGAUAACCUACCUAUAAGACUUGGAUAACUUCGGGAAACCGGAUCUAAUACCGGAUAAUAUGUUGAACGGCAUGGUUCAAAAGUGAAAGACGGUUUUGCUGUCACUUAUAGAUGGAGCCGCGCUGCAUUAGCUAGUUGGUAAGGUAACGGCUUACCAAGGCAACGAUGCGUAGCCGACCUGAGAGGGUGAUCGGCCACACUGGAACUGAGACACGGUCCAGACUCCUACGGGAGGCAGCAGUAGGGAAUCUUCCGCAAUGGGCGCAAGCCUGACGGAGCCACGCCGCGUGAGUGAUGAAGGUCUUCGGAUCGUAAAACUCUGUUAUUAGGGAAGAACAUAUGUGUAAGUAACCCUGCACGUCCUGACGGUACCUAAUCAGAAAGCCACGGCUAACUACGUG